RNAcentral lists this ribosomal RNA (253 nucleotides) under uncultured bacterium. RNAcentral's name for it is "partial 16S ribosomal RNA". It matches the Rfam family "Bacterial small subunit ribosomal RNA", at positions 524 to 776 of the family's 1533-position model. The record is from RNAcentral.
UACGUAGGGUGCGAGCGUUAAUCGGAAUUACUGGGCGUAAAGCGUGCGCAGGCGGUUUUGUAAGCCAGAUGUGAAAUCCCCGGGCUUAACCUGGGAAUGGCAUUUGGGACUGCAAGGCUCGAGUGCGGCAGAGGAGACUGGAAUUCCUGGUGUAGCAGUGAAAUGCGUAGAUAUCAGGAGGAACACCGAUGGCGAAGGCAGGUCUCUGGGCUGACACUGACGCUGAGGCGCGAAAGCUAGGGGAGCGAACGGG